GCUGAAGAACGCAGCGAAAUGCGAUAAGUAAUGUGAAUUGCAGAAUUCAGUGAAUCAUCGAAUCUUUGAACGCACAUUGCGCCCGUCAGUAUUCUGGCGGGCAUGCCUGUUCGAGCGUCAUUACGCCCCUCAAGUCCCCUGUGGACUUGGUGUUGGGGAUCGGCGAGGCUGGUUUUCCAGCACAGCCGUCCCUUAAAUUAAUUGGCGGUCUCGCCGUGGCCCUCCUCUGCGCAGUAGUAAAACACUCGCAACAGGAGCCCGGCGCGGUCCACUGCCGUAAAACCCCCCAACUUUUUAUAGUUGACCUCGAAUCAGGUAGGACUACCCGCUGAACUUAAGCAUAUCAAUAAGCGGAGGA
RNAcentral lists this unclassified non-coding RNA (358 nucleotides) under soil metagenome. Its description in RNAcentral is "partial contains 5.8S ribosomal RNA, internal transcribed spacer 2, and large subunit ribosomal RNA". The stretch from base 3 to 120 matches the Rfam family "5.8S ribosomal RNA", at positions 37 to 154 of the family's 154-position model. The record is from RNAcentral.